UACAGGGGGGGCAAGCGUUGUUCGGAAUUACUGGGCGUAAAGGGCGCGUAGGCGGCCUUCUAAGUCGAACGUGAAAUCCCCGGGCUCAACCCGGGAACUGCGUCCGAUACUGGAAGGCUUGAAUCCGGGAGAGGGAUGUGGAAUUCCAGGUGUAGCGGUGAAAUGCGUAGAUAUCUGGAGGAACACCGGUGGCGAAGGCGACAUCCUGGACCGGUAUUGACGCUGAGGCGCGAAAGCCAGGGGAGCAAACGGG
This 253-nucleotide ribosomal RNA is filed under the name uncultured bacterium. RNAcentral's name for it is "partial 16S ribosomal RNA". It matches the Rfam family "Bacterial small subunit ribosomal RNA", at positions 524 to 776 of the family's 1533-position model. The record is from RNAcentral.